CCGCCGUUGCAUAUGCUGAUUGUAGAUGCUGCUCGCUCCUGUCUUCUGCUACUCAUCACAGACCUGGUCGUGUUGAGCAGUUGUUGGCAGAUGUUAGUGGUGUUUCCUACUCUCAGUCGUCAGCAUCACUGGCUGAGUGGAAAUAAUCCUUGGAUGCUAAUUGGUUCGCUAUCUGUGAAUUGGUUGCUUCCUUGCGAUACUCACUACUCGGUCAGUGAGGAAGUGCGUUUGCUGGUCAACGAGCUUUCUAACUGUCAUUACCCUGCGCUUUUCGAUUCGUCGAGUGGCCAGGAUGUGGCUUUGAGAUUGUUCGCACUUAGUAAUCGCGAUGCUGGCUUCCAACGGUUGCCUCCGGCCCGUCUUGAAACACGGACCAAGGAGUCUAACGUAUGUGCGAGUGUGUGAGUGGCAAACUUAUACGCGUAAUGAAAGUGAGGCCGUAUGGCCAUGUUGGGGUCACCAACAACCGACCUUGAUCUUCGGUGAAAGGUUUGAGUAUGAGCAUAUCCGUUAGGACCCGAAAGAUGGUGAACUAUGCCUGAGCAGGGUGAAGCCAGGGGAAACUCUGGUGGAGGCUCGUAGCGAUACUGACGUGCAAAUCGUUCGUCAGACUUGGGUAUAGGGGCGAAAGACUAAUCGAACCAUCUAGUAGCUGGUUCCCUCCGAAGUUUCCCUCAGGAUAGCUAGAGUCUUUAUCAGUUUUGUCAGGUAAAGCGAAUGAUUAGAGGUUCCGGGGAAGUAACUUCCUCGACCUAUUCUCAAACUUUAAAUGGGCAAGAUCCAGUAGUUACUUAAUUGAACUAUUGGGGUCAAUGAGACGACUCUAAGUGGGCCAUUUUUGGUAAGCAGAACUGGCGAUGAGGGAUGAACCUAACGCUCGGUUAAGGUGCUAAACUGCUCGCUCAUCAGAUACCACAAAGGGUGUUGGUCGAUCUUAACAGCAGGACGGUGGUCAUGGAAGUCGAAAUCCGCUAAGGAGUGUGUAACAACUCACCUGCCGAAUCGACUAGCCCCGAAAAUGGAUAGCGCUGAAGCGAGUGACC
RNAcentral lists this non-coding RNA (1043 nucleotides) under Perkinsus marinus ATCC 50983. Its description in RNAcentral is "Eukaryotic large subunit ribosomal RNA". It matches the Rfam family "Eukaryotic large subunit ribosomal RNA", at positions 429 to 1342 of the family's 3401-position model. Lineage: Eukaryota; Perkinsozoa; Perkinsida; Perkinsidae. The record is from Rfam by way of RNAcentral.